Molecule: ribosomal RNA, 497 nt
Filed under: uncultured bacterium
Lineage: Bacteria
Description: partial 16S ribosomal RNA
Rfam family: Bacterial small subunit ribosomal RNA
Source: RNAcentral
GAUGAACGCUGGCGGCGUGCCUAAUACAUGCAAGUCGAGCGAACGGACGAGAAGCUUGCUUUUCUGAUGUUAGCGGCGGACGGGUGAGUAACACGUGGAUAACCUACCUAUAAGACUGGGAUAACUUCGGGAAACCGGAGCUAAUACCGGAUAAUAUUUUGAACCGCAUGGUUCAAAAGUGAAAGACGGUCUUGCUGUCACUUAUAGAUGGAUCCGCGCUGCAUUAGCUAGUUGGUAAGGUAACGGCUUACCAAGGCAACGAUGCAUAGACGACCUGAGAGAGUGAUCGGCCACACUGGAACUGAGACACGGUCCAGACUCCUACGAGAGGCAGCAGUAGGGAAUCUUCCGCAAUGGGCGAAAGCCUGACGGAGCAACGCCGCGUGAGUGAUGAAGGUCUUCGGAUCGUAAAACUCUGUUAUUAGGGAAGAACAUAUGUGUAAGUAACUGUGCACAUCUUGACGGUACCUAAUCAGAAAGCCACGGCUAACUACGUG